UUAACGACACAUAUUCAUUACCGCAUGACUUAUAAUAACUUAUUUAAUGAUAAUUUUUUUGUGUGUAGAGCUUUUUUCCACCUGACAAAUAACAUUUUAAUAUCAUUAAACAACACAUUCAUUAUCACACGAUUCGUCAUACAUUAUCUGACGAUCAAUUUUUUCGUGUGGAUAUUUGUUUUCAACGAAAAUAUAAUCCUACCUUAUUAAACAAUACAUUCAUUUUCACAUGACUUAUAAUACAUUACCUGACAAUUGAUCUUUUCGCGUGAGUGCACACUUUUUUUGCACUUGUCAAAUACAACCCCACCUUAUUAAACGAUAUUUCAUUAUCAUGUUAUUCGUAAUUGCCUAUGUGUUAACAUGUUUUUUCUCGUGUGAGUCCUCCGGUCAAGUUUUUUCAUUUUCAUUAACUAUACGUUCAUUUCCACGUGACUUAUGAUAAAUUAUCUGAUGAUUGAUAUUUUUCGUGUGAGUGCGUACUUUUUUGCACUUGUCAAAUAUUACUCCACCUCAUUAAAUGACAUAUCAUUAUCACAUUAUUUGUAAUUAUCAAUUUGUCAACAUGUUUUUUCU
RNAcentral lists this long non-coding RNA (576 nucleotides) under Solanum tuberosum (potato). RNAcentral describes it as "long non-coding RNA (STUB_LNC008946)". Lineage: Eukaryota; Viridiplantae; Streptophyta; Magnoliopsida; Solanales; Solanaceae. The record is from RNAcentral.